AGCUUUUCCGAUGGUUGUGCUGCUUCCAGACAUGUAUUUUCGUAUUAAAGCAUUUAACCAAUCACAUUUCAGCCAUCAUUUGUUGCCAGGCAGGGUCAAAGUCAAAGAAGUCUGCCCGGAGGCCUUCACAAUCCGUUCUGCAGGCCCUCUAACACAAAAUAAAUGUCGAUUAAACUGUUGCUUCAACCAAUCAGAUUUUGAGUUGGUUUCACUAGGGCCCUCUAGCAGGCAUACGGCAACGUCACCGUAUUCAGACCCAUUGAUUGGAUAGAAGCCAAUAUGAGGAACUCUACGAGGCCACUGAACACACCGUAGGCGCUCCGAGCGCACGAAGAGGUCAAGCACAAGAUCCUCGCGCACACUACCGCCAACUCCAUGGCAGGAUUCUGGACAAUAUUAUUUGCCAGACACAGACCAGAUUUCAAGACCACGAAAAACUGAUGUUUGUCACGCUCCUCGACCCCCAGAAG
Molecule: long non-coding RNA, 470 nt
Organism: Erpetoichthys calabaricus (reedfish)
Lineage: Eukaryota; Metazoa; Chordata; Cladistia; Polypteriformes; Polypteridae
Exons: 2
Source: RefSeq, a predicted model, not a curated record